CUCCAGGCUUAAAAGGAAGGUACUUCAAAAUGCCAGAUGCAGGGAGUGUAGUAUCAGGAGACAGGUUUCUCGUUGUCUCUUGUGCUCACAGAGGCACCAGGUGGGGCCGCUGUGGGAUACAGGAAGCUGGAUUAGAUGGCUCUUCUUACGCCUAAAUCAUGUGAAAUAUUAGUCCCCCUCUAAUUGACAUUGAUUAGGUCUCAUCUUGACUACAUUGCCCAGUUUUGAACAGCGCACUUCAAGAAGGAUCCAGAAAAACUGGAAGAAGUUCAGAGGACGGCAACGAAGAUAAGCAGAGGACAGUAAACAAAGCCUUUUGAGGAAAGACUGAGAGAACUGGGCAUGUUUAGCCUUGAGAAAAGAAGCUUGAGGGGAGAUAUGAUAGCAUUCCUCAAAUAUCACAAAGAUUGUUAUACAGAGGAGGGGCAGGAUCUGUUCUCUAUCAAUCCAUGUAAUAAUGGACUCAAGUUACAAGAAACCAGAUUUCAGAUGAAUAUCAGGAAAAACUUCCUAACUAUUAGAGCAACACAACAAUGGAACCAAUUACCUUAGGAGGUGGCGAAUACUCCAGUGCUGGAGUAUUAGACAGCCAUCUGUCAGAUCAGCUUUGAUUUGGAUUCCUGCAUUGAGCAGGGGGUUGAACUUGAUGGUCUUAUGAAGCCCCUUUCAACUCUGUAAUUCUAUGAUCUGUGAUCGAUGAUCUACACCACACUGGUACAUGACAUUGUGAGUUAGGAGCAAAACUCUUACAGUGGUGCCUGUACAUUUUGAUUUAUAUAGAUUUAAAGCUCUUUAGACUUUUUAUCUGAAGGAUUCUCUUUUGCUUUUCUAAAAGAUCUUUCAGCAUGAAAACUCAGAUCAAGAAGAACUUGGCCGUUGGCUUCCCAUUGAUGCUGUUCAUAGCAGGAGCAAAUGCCAUCUGGUGUAACAGUUGCAAAAAGCCCAUUCCUUCAGGGAGCUGUCCAGAAACACAAGAAAUCUGUUGGGCAGGGGAAGGAGCUGGCUGCUACACAGAGAAUCUCUACAUUGGACAUACAAGGAUUAAAUCUGCUGUUGGUUGUUUCCAGGGGUGCAGUAAUGGGAAAACUGAGUAUGGUGCCAUGUGGAAUGAGUUAGUUUGCUGUUUUACAGACUAUUGCAAUGCCUAACUUUGACUGAGGAGGACCCAGGAGUUUGGAAUACUCACAGUCGGAUCUUGUCAAAUUGAAGCUAAUGAUGCAGCCAACAUAAAGAGAAUAAAAAGAAGCUACAUUAUUUCUGCCUUUUCCUA
RNAcentral lists this long non-coding RNA (1270 nucleotides) under Pogona vitticeps (central bearded dragon). Its description in RNAcentral is "lncRNA (ENSPVIG00000018587.1)". The record is from RNAcentral. Lineage: Eukaryota; Metazoa; Chordata; Lepidosauria; Squamata; Agamidae.